UACGUAGGGAGCGAGCGUUAUCCGGAUUUAUUGGGUGUAAAGGGUGCGUAGACGGGAAGGUAAGUUAGUUGUGAAAUCCCUCGGCUUAACUGAGGAACUGCAACUAAAACUGUUUUUCUUGAGUACUGGAGAGGAAAGUGGAAUUCCUAGUGUAGCGGUGAAAUGCGUAGAUAUUAGGAGGAACACCAGUGGCGAAGGCGACUUUCUGGACAGAAACUGACGUUGAGGCACGAAAGUGUGGGGAGCAAACAGGAUUAGAUACCCUGGUAGUCCACACCGUAAACGAUGGAUACUAGGUGUAGGGAAUAAUAAAUUCUCUGUGUCGUCGCAAACGCAAUAAGUAUCCCACCUGGGGAGUACGGCCGCAAGGUUGAA
This 375-nucleotide ribosomal RNA is filed under the name uncultured bacterium. RNAcentral's name for it is "bacterial SSU rRNA". It matches the Rfam family "Bacterial small subunit ribosomal RNA", at positions 524 to 898 of the family's 1533-position model. The record is from RNAcentral.